AACGAACGCUGGCGGCAUGCCUAACACAUGCAAGUCGAACGAGAUCUUCGGGUCUAGUGGCGCACGGGUGCGUAACGCGUGGGAAUCUGCCCUUUGGUUCGGAAUAACAGUUGGAAACGACUGCUAUACCGGAUGAUGACGAAAGUCCAAAGAUUUAUCGCCAGAGGAUGAGCCCGCGUAGGAUUAGCUAGUUGGUGUGGUAAAGGCGCAUCAAGGCGACGAUCCUUAGCUGGUCUGAGAGGAUGAUCAGCCACACUGGGACUGAGACACGGCCCAGACUCCUACGGGAGGCAGCAGUGGGGAAUAUUGGACAAUGGGCGAAAGCCUGAUCCAGCAAUGCCGCGCUAGUGAUGAAGGCCUUAGGGUUGUAAAGCUCUUUUACCCGGGAUGAUAAUGACAGUACCGGGAGAAUAAGCUCCGGCUAACUCCGUGCCAGCAGCCGCCGCGG
This 448-nucleotide ribosomal RNA is filed under the name uncultured bacterium. RNAcentral describes it as "partial 16S ribosomal RNA". It matches the Rfam family "Bacterial small subunit ribosomal RNA", at positions 29 to 523 of the family's 1533-position model. The record is from RNAcentral.